RNAcentral lists this ribosomal RNA (254 nucleotides) under uncultured bacterium. RNAcentral's name for it is "partial 16S ribosomal RNA". It matches the Rfam family "Bacterial small subunit ribosomal RNA", at positions 524 to 776 of the family's 1533-position model. The record is from RNAcentral.
UACGGGGGGAGCAAGCGUUGUUCGGAUUUACUGGGCGUAAAGGGCGCGUAGGCGGCCUCCGCAAGUCAGUUGUGAAAUCUCCGAGCUUAACUCGGAAAGGUCAACUGAUACUGCGGGGCUAGAGUGCGGAAGGGGCAACUGGAAUUCUUGGUGUAGCGGUGAAAUGCGUAGAUAUCAGGAGGAACACCGGUGGCGAAGGCGGGUCUCUGGGCCGUAACUGACGCUGAGGAGCGAAAGCAUGGGGAGCGAACAGG